Molecule: ribosomal RNA, 253 nt
Filed under: uncultured bacterium
Lineage: Bacteria
Description: partial 16S ribosomal RNA
Rfam family: Bacterial small subunit ribosomal RNA
Source: RNAcentral
UACGUAGGGGACGAGCGUUAUUCGGAUUUACUGGGCGUAAAGCGCGUUAAGGCGGAUUUGUAAGUUGGUGGUGAAAGUUCAGGGCUCAACUCUGAAAGUGCUGCCAAUACUGCGGAUCUAGAGUGUGAGAGAGGAAAGUGGAAUUCCCGGUGUAGUAGUGAAAUGCGUAGAUAUCGGGAGGAACACCAGUGGCGAAGGCGGCUUUCUGGCUCACAACUGACGCUGUAGCGCGAAAGCGUGGGGAGCGAACGGA